Molecule: non-coding RNA, 203 nt
Organism: Pelobates cultripes (western spadefoot toad)
Lineage: Eukaryota; Metazoa; Chordata; Amphibia; Anura; Pelobatidae
Source: the annotation of a GenBank genome assembly
GAGGCACUCGGUUGGGGUGCCAGGUGGUCUGCCACAGAGGAUAUCUUAUUUCAUGAGAUUCUUUAAUAGAUAUUUGGAUGUUCCAGACAAUCAACAAACAUAUCAACAUUUGUGUUAUUAUAAUGCAUUGCUCUAUAAGUCAUAAUGAGCAAAAUAUGUCAUAUUUGAAUAGAUAGCAUUACUCAUCCAGUACUUUAACAAAG